CAUCAAUCCUGCUCAAUGGUCAACUUUCCUCGCGGGGUCACCCAUAAAGACAGCGGGAGGGUUAAUGAGUUGUUGUCCGGGAGAAGAAAACGGAUGUUUUGUCUUCUGUGUGUAUAAAAGAAAGAAAAUAAUUCUUGCUGAAAAUUCUACUGUACAAACAUUUUCAGUUGAGGUCUUUUCUCAUAUCAAAACGUCGGUAUUAGAUCAGGUCCUACUCACUGUACGUGCCAAUAACUUUAUCAAAGCUCUGGUAAACUAAAGGGUACGUCACCCCCCUACCAGAGUCCUACUCCACUUCCUGUUUGAAAAACGCUACAAAUGUGACUGGCAGACUGAGAGGGUGGAGCUGCUAACGUUGGCCGUGUUCGAGAUGAGCCGGUUCUGCUCAGAUUAGAUCACCGGUGAUCGGCGCACAGUGCAUGCCGGUUAGAUUCGUGUCCCACUUGACGCCGACUUGCUCUGACGUCAUGCCCAUGUAGGCAACGAUAAGCUUGUGAGAUCAAGGGGUGGGGCGCAGAUUUUGGAGCAAGACGCUGCAGUUGCUCUUCACCGGUUGCUAAACCUAGAGCAUAACGGGAAAUGCCUGGCUCUCCCCUGAUCUGAACAUCUGGUUGGUUCAUAUGCUGAUCCAAACAUCCGGUGGUAGAAUGCAAAAUGUUAGUUGGUCACAUGUAUUCUGUAAAGCAUGUUACAUUGAUGACAAUUAUGGGCCACGAAGAGAAAUGUGAUUAGUUUUAUUUUGUCACAUUAUUUUUCCAGGCGAGGCGCUGCUUAUCUCGAACAGGGCCAAAUACACACACACAGGCUCACAAUGGCACUGUGACAUCACAGGGUACCAGGCAUUGUCAUAGGGUACCUCUUAGCCAAUUUAAUUUCAGAUGCAGUGCAGAGGUUUUACCUGAAGAGGGUGCAAAACUGACAGUUUUAGGUAGAUAAUUUAAAUCUUAAAGGAGACAUAACAUGAAACCCCCACUUUUUAUCCAUUAACACAGUGUGUUUCACAUUUUAAGUGUCUAUGUGAGCAAAAAGGCUUAUAUUAUUCACUAGAGUUGCUAUUUAGAUAUUUAAUAAUUAAGUUUUGGGCAUUAUUUGUCCACCCGCUCAGUUUUUCAAAUACAUCAGAAAUUUAUGUUGUUGCGAUAACUACCAAAUAUGAUCAUGGCCCUCGGCUAAACACAGAGCCAAUCCGCCAUUUUUUCUUCUUGCUAAGAUUUUUGUAGUCCCAUUGGAAAAAUGCAGAAUGUCUAGUUGUUUUAGCCACUCACAGCUCAAAACUGUUCCUCGUUUUAAGGAAGAGUGGUGUGGCAGUAUUUAAAACCCAGAAGCUAAUGACACUACUGCUAAACAAAAAUUAAAACAGAAGAAAAAAGUAGUGUGAGUGUGCGCGCGCGUUCAUUCGUGUCUCCCAUAGUGAUGUGUCGGUCGCGAACGAACCGGCUCUAAGAGCCGGCUCUUUGAAGUGAACAAUGGGAGCCGGCUCGUCAUUGGGAGCCGUCCACUCCCCUACCCCCUCCCCUUUUGCUUUGGUGAAAGCCACAGGCGAUUGGUCAGCAUGUGUAACUGAGUGUCCAGACUGUCCACACACAGAGCAGUAGGGGCGGGGAAGAGGGAGGAUCAGAUUCAGACACACAGCAGAGCACAUGCGGGUGGAGGGAAACGAGAGGGAAUGAGGAGGAGGAAAAAGGCUAGAGAGAGAGAGGAGAGUGUGACGAAGACGGUGAGAAAAUGAGCGCCAGCAGUUGGAAAGUGGAGAUUUCUGAAAGUGUUCAGUUAUUAAAUCCAUAGAAGUGAUAAAUAUUUGAUAUAUAGCAUUUUUUUACAUUAGUAAAUCAUUUUACAUAUAGUUUUGCAUUCUUUUGGUUAUAAAUGUACUCUACGCAACAGAAAAUCUGAGGAGCCACUUGGGAGCCGAAAGAGCCGACUCUUUUUGGUGAGCUGAGCCAAAAGAACCGGCUCUCUAAAAAGAGCCUGAAUUCCCAUCACUAGGCUCCCAGGCUAGUGGCUAAGUACCAAGGGCUUUAUCUAUCUAAAAGGAGUCAUUUCCAUCUGAAUGUGGCAGCAACGGGACACAGCAGCGGAGCGAGUCCACAUCCAGAAGGCUGGAGCCGUGUUUCACUGACAGGCUGUCAGACUAACGCCCUGAUGGGCUCAGCUGGGACAAACUCUGGUCUGAUGUUUAGGAACACAGAACGUUCAGAUGUUGGAGCUUCACAUCACCUACUGAAGAAGGAGACCCACCAGUAAAGAGACGAUCUGGACCAGACCAAAAAUAUGGCGAUGACAUCAUGGAACUGGUCUUUGGAAAAGUUUUCCCUGAACCAACUCCGUUUCUAGAUGAGGUAGAGAAGAUCUGCAUCUCACCAACUCUCUGGUCUCAGUAUUCAGACAAUGGAGGUCUCCCACUGUUAUCCAGGACCAGUUUGAAGCCCACAUACUGCCCCUCCCUCAUCAUCAGGAAACGUCAAUCCGUAUCCUGAGGACAACAGAAGACGGCAGGAGGACAGGAACUCUGAGACCCAGAUACCACCAGCACCGAGACACAAAGCACCUGUGUGCACAACGCCUGUUUAACUACUAAAGCCUGUUUAUUAUAUUGUUCUACUUAUUUGCUGUGAGUUUAAUACUUUGAAAAUUUGUAUAUUAAUGUAAACAAUUAAAAAAAUAACUGAUUGUACGUUUUCUUUUAGAUGUAAUGGUCCAAACUCAGCCUUGUAGACAUUUAUUGCAUCCUGUAGGUAAAUACACAGAACAGGCUCAGGUCCAGGAUGACCCAGCAUGCUCUUCUUCCAUUCUGGCUGUUAGGGAUUGUAUCAAUAACUCAAUGCCUACUGAUGUUUCCACCUAACGGUAUUUAUUUAGAAUGCAGGUAAGAUUUAACUAUAUUUGUUAGCAAAGCAGACUGAUCUUGGGAAUUUCACUGCAGCGCUGAUGUCCACCUCUGGGUACACGUUAGAGAGAAUUACCAAGGUUACAGCUAAACACAUUUAAUAAAGAUAUAGGCUACACAUUGCAGACAAUAAAAACGUAAAGUUGUAAGCAUUAGAAUUAUAAUGAUCACAUUAAAGAACAUUUGGAGAAAUGUUCUUUAUUUGUGACUAGAAUCUCAAAUCUUUAAAUUAAAAUGUAACUGCUUUUUAUCCAUUUUCACAUCCAUUAUAAAAUUUAUAUAUAUACAUACAGAGAGAGAUCUUAAUAAAAUAUAUUCUUUUAAUGGUGUUUUAA
Molecule: non-coding RNA, 3222 nt
Organism: Nothobranchius furzeri (turquoise killifish)
Lineage: Eukaryota; Metazoa; Chordata; Actinopteri; Cyprinodontiformes; Nothobranchiidae
Source: RefSeq, a predicted model, not a curated record